GACUGUAUGACGGCAUCACGAGAACUAAACUGUCUCCCCCCUCUAAUCAGUGAAACUGAUCUCCCCGUGCAGAAGCGGGGGUAAAAUCAUAAGACGAGAAGACCCUGUGGAGCUUAAAAUCAAAUACCAACUGUCGGUACUUAAAAACACUAAUACAGUUAUGGCUUAGAUUUUCAGCUGGGGUGCCUGCGGAGUAAAAACUACCCUCCGCGAAGAAUUUGCCAAGAACAACCACUCUAAGCAUUUAUAAAUUUUACUUAAUUGAUCCAAAUUUUUGAUCAACGGACCAAGUUACCCCAGGGAUAACAGCGCAAUCCACUUUUAGAGGCCCUAUCGACAAGUGGGCUUACGACCUCGAUGUUGGAUCAGGGCAUCCAAGUGGUGCAGCCAUUACUAAAGGUUCGUUUGUUCAACGAUUAAAGCCCUACGUGAUCUGAGUUCAGACCGGA
Molecule: ribosomal RNA, 449 nt
Filed under: Leptobrachella macrops
Lineage: Eukaryota; Metazoa; Chordata; Amphibia; Anura; Megophryidae
Description: partial 16S ribosomal RNA
Rfam family: Bacterial large subunit ribosomal RNA
Source: RNAcentral